AGGUCGGAACCAUCAAGCCGAAGGCUUGAUUUUAAAUGUUCCGACCGACCUGCCGCCGACCGAAAGGGAGGGGGCGAUACAAU
This 83-nucleotide small RNA is filed under the name bovine gut metagenome. RNAcentral's name for it is "GA-cis RNA". It matches the Rfam family "GA-cis RNA". The record is from RNAcentral.